This 253-nucleotide ribosomal RNA is filed under the name uncultured bacterium. RNAcentral's name for it is "partial 16S ribosomal RNA". It matches the Rfam family "Bacterial small subunit ribosomal RNA", at positions 524 to 776 of the family's 1533-position model. The record is from RNAcentral.
GACAGAGGGUGCGACCGUUGUUCGGAAUUACUGGGCGUAAAGCGCGUGUAGGCUGCUUGGAAAGUCGGAUGUGAAAGCCCUGGGCUCAACCCAGGAAGUGCAUUCGAAACUUCUAAGCUCGAGUCCUGGAGAGGGAAGCGGAAUUCUCGGUGUAGAGGUGAAAUUCGUAGAUAUCGGGAGGAACACCGGUGGCGAAGGCGGCUACCUGGACAGUGACUGACGCUGAGACGCGAAAGCGUGGGGAGCAAACAGG